Molecule: unclassified non-coding RNA, 705 nt
Filed under: Bradyrhizobium sp.
Lineage: Bacteria; Pseudomonadati; Pseudomonadota; Alphaproteobacteria; Hyphomicrobiales; Nitrobacteraceae
Description: partial 16S-23S ribosomal RNA intergenic spacer region
Rfam family: Bacterial large subunit ribosomal RNA (bases 591-705)
Source: RNAcentral
GGUUAGAGCGCGCGCUUGAUAAGCGUGAGGUCGGAAGUUCAAGUCUUCCCAGGCCCACCACACUCAUCGAGUGAGCAUUCGUCUUCUGGUUACGGGGCCAUAGCUCAGCUGGGAGAGCGCGUGCUUUGCAAGCAUGAGGUCGUCGGUUCGAUCCCGUCUGGCUCCACCAGAUGGUUUGAUCACCGACUACUCAUACCGUCGUCCGCGAAACAUCACUUCGCACUUACUAGUCCGGAUGGACAGUAAGCUGCGUGAUUUCUGACAUCGUAAAGAGGAGAUCGAUCCGAGUUGGAUCGGGCAACAAGCAAUUGUUGCGCGAUACUUCAUUAUCUCCGGAUCAUUUCGGCGCUCGUGCGUCUUCCAGGGUAGCUCACAAGGCUGCAUCUGAAAGACAAGCGAGUUGUAAAUGAUCCUUUUAGCGAAGCUUGACCGCCUCGCUAUCGGAACGAUCUUACGAAGCAAGCUGGUCUUUCUAAUCAUUGUCCGGCUGCAGAUAGCGUUCAUCGAGGGCGCGUGCCUUAGAGACUUAGGUUUCUUGGUAAUUCUGCAGACAACAUUCUGCCGAGUGUGUGGACAUUGAUAAUGAGAGCAAUCAAGUGCCUUAAGGGUGUUCGGUGGAUGCCUUGGCGCUGAGAGGCGAUGAAGGACGUGCUACGCUGCGAUAAGCCGUGGGGAGCUGCGAAGAAGCUUUGAUCCAUGGAUUUC